RNAcentral lists this ribosomal RNA (447 nucleotides) under uncultured bacterium. Its description in RNAcentral is "bacterial SSU rRNA". It matches the Rfam family "Bacterial small subunit ribosomal RNA", at positions 355 to 825 of the family's 1533-position model. The record is from RNAcentral.
UCGGGAAUUUUGGGCAAUGGGCGAAAGCCUGACCCAGCAACGCCGCGUGAAGGAUGAAGUAUUUCGGUAUGUAAACUUCGAAAGAAUAGGAAGAAUAAAUGACGGUACUAUUUAUAAGGUCCGGCUAACUACGUGCCAGCAGCCGCGGUAAUACGUAGGGACCAAGCGUUGUUCGAAUUUACUGGGCGUAAAGGGCGCGUAGGCGGCAAUUCAAGUCAUCUGUGAAAUCUCCGGGCUUAACUCGGAACGGUCAGAUGAUACUGCUUUGCUAGAGUGCAGAAGGGGCAAUCGGAAUUCUUGGUGUAGCGGUGAAAUGCGUAGAUAUCAAGAGGAACACCUGAGGUGAAGACGGGUUGCUGGGCUGACACUGACGCUGAGGCGCGAAAGCCAGGGGAGCAAACGGGAUUAGAUACCCCGGUAGUCCCUGAGCGGGCUGGCAAGGCGCAU